AUGUGAUUUCUGGUCAAGCAGUUCGCGUUCAGUCCGCACAGACCUACGCAGGGAUCGAUGCACCUGUUGUUCGUGCACACUCGGUUGUACGGGCAGUCGUCGUUGACUGAAACGUGACCAGAAUGCCAUAAGAAUUAUGUAAUGCUCGCGGAUCGUUCUACUCACUUAGACACUCGACCCGUGUACACCGCGCGAGCGGGUCUCCCAUAUGUAGAUUCAGGCAGGAGCACACCGGUCGUCCCUCGCUCAUCGUACAUCUCGCAUUCACGCCGCACGUGUAGCUUUCGCAACCGCCUGUGGAAAAGACGAGGGUCGUCGGGUGAUUCAGCGGGCAAUUUUGCGUAAUAACAAAAAGACAAGAAGAACUUACCAGACGCGACUACUCGCGACUGAACGUAUUGGACGUAGUGGCUGCCGUUCACCACCGUGGCGAACAGAGCCAAGAGCAAGGCUGCGGCUCGCGGAUAUUGCAUUUUGCCACUAUAUUUCGGCCCGUAUCUGCCGAGAAAACGAUGAAAUUCUGAAGAUGCAGAUAGGAAGAGAGCUCUACAGUCGCGACGGUUCUUCUCGGACGAUGAUAAUCGAGCUCUGUGCAAAUUCUUCAAGUUGAAACGAUACUCUUUUGUAAAUUUUUAAAUAAAACACCUUUUUGCUUUUUUGCA
This is a long non-coding RNA of Solenopsis invicta (red fire ant), 662 nucleotides long. RefSeq lists it as uncharacterized. The transcript is spliced from 2 exons. NCBI's taxonomy places the organism in Eukaryota, Metazoa, Arthropoda, Insecta, Hymenoptera, Formicidae. The record is from RefSeq and is a predicted model, not a curated record.